AGUUCAGUAAAGAUUUAUCCUAAUGUUGAUGUAAUCUUCCAUUUUUAUUGACUAUGUGUUUAACUUUUAUUUCUAAGUAGUCAUUUUUAUUUGCAUAAUUAUUUGCAGAAUCAAAAGUUUUCUGCAAAUUUGAUUCUGUUGGAUACAGAGGUGUAGAUUUGAAAUUUGAGACUGCUUAUGUCAGUUGCCUCCUUUCUGCAUUCUAUUUUGGGUUUGCCAACUUGUUAAUAAGAUGGAGGAGAAUACUGGCAAGGUUAAGCCUUUCAACCGAAAUGACGAACAGUUUCUGGAAGCUUUUGUCAUCUUUUGUGGCUUGGGGAUCCAGAACACGCAGAUGUAUGAAGCAGUGGAGAGAGCCAUGGCCAAGCAAAUGGUCACAUUGGAGGUUCUGUCGUAUCAUGCUUCAGCAGCAGAGGAAGAAACAAGAGAGCUACAGUCGUUAGCGGCUGCUGUGGUGCCAUCUGCCCAGACCCUUAAAAUUACUGACUUUAGCUUUAGUGACUUUGAGCUGUCUGAUCUGGAAACAGCACUGUGUACAAUUCGGAUGUUUACUGACCUCAACCUUGUGCAGAACUUCCAGAUGAAACAUGAGGUUCUUUGCAGAUGGAUUUUAAGUGUUAAGAAGAAUUAUCGGAAGAAUGUUGCCUAUCAUA
This 653-nucleotide small RNA is filed under the name Pan troglodytes (chimpanzee). Its description in RNAcentral is "processed transcript". The record is from RNAcentral. Lineage: Eukaryota; Metazoa; Chordata; Mammalia; Primates; Hominidae.